UCCGUUGUGGUCAAGUAGUAAAAUUUACGGCUCUCACCCGUCAGGCCCGGGUUCGAUUUCCUGCAACGGAA
This 71-nucleotide transfer RNA is filed under the name Angiostrongylus costaricensis. It matches the Rfam family "tRNA". Rfam says of the family: Transfer RNA (tRNA) molecules are approximately 80 nucleotides in length. Lineage: Eukaryota; Metazoa; Nematoda; Chromadorea; Rhabditida; Metastrongylidae. The record is from Rfam by way of RNAcentral.